This is a long non-coding RNA of Spodoptera frugiperda (fall armyworm), 1086 nucleotides long. RefSeq lists it as uncharacterized. NCBI's taxonomy places the organism in Eukaryota, Metazoa, Arthropoda, Insecta, Lepidoptera, Noctuidae. The record is from RefSeq and is a predicted model, not a curated record. The transcript has 4 exons.
GGGUCCUUAGACAAAGUAACAUCGCUUGGUAGCGAAACGAUAUCUAAAAUCGUCAUCGUCUCAACGAUAACGACAAACAUUUCUUAGACAAAGUAACAUCGCGAUCGUUAUCGUUGUGUCGAAUCGAUUGUUCGUUAAAAAGCAAAAAUAUUGUUUAUGGUAACGAAAAUUUAGCUGUCAGUGUCACUCAAGAAGUUCAAAUCGGAUUAUUCCCGCGAGUUAUUACUGUUUUCGAAUUUUACUGAUAAGAAUAAGUGAGUUGUUGGCGAUCGCCGUACUUCGUGAGGGUGAUGAUAUCACGGUCAGCGACGUUGGAGUGCUGGGUGACGUCACGGGAUCGGCACGGUGGUCGCCGCACCGGUGGGCUUCAAGUGGUUGUGCUGCGAUGCCCAGACGUAAAUAUCCGAAAACUGCUGGGCUCAAGUGCUUCCCAAGAGAAAUAUGACUUUAUAAGUUCAAUUUCGAACUAGCCCUCGCAUAAGACAGUCCACGUUAUUUCUAUGAUAGUGAUGAAACAUGGAAUCAAGAAUGCGAACAAGUUCCCAACAAUUGUCAAUGCUGCUUGAGGAUAUAGCAAAUCAUGGUGCCCGGCGAGGCCUCUUGCUGCAUCACUAGGUUGGGUACAGUCAGACCGACUGUGGACUGAACUGACAAACAUAUUGAAUGCUGUUGGUGGUGGUGGCAGCAAGACUACAGAUAAGUGAUAAAAAGCGUGAUCCGCGGUUGAGAUCGCCAGCGACACCGCAGUCUGCUGUUUCUCCCGGCCCUCGUUUGAGCGACACCCUUCGAGAUAGCGGCAAGCGAGUAGCUAAAAAGCUAAGAGCACACAGCACCUGAAAAUUAUACUAAUACAGAUUUAGAUUAUGUGGUUUUAUUUUUACUUACCUCUACAGCAGUUAAUAAAGUAUUGUGUCGUACCACAAUAUUUUUGUUAUAUAGUUCCUAUAAUAUAUAAAACUAACCGACGAAUAAUGCUUUAACUCAAGUUAUUAGGAUCAAUAACCAACAACAAAAGUAUAUGUUUGCCUGCAAUAGGUACCUAUAAUUAUAUUGUUUAAUUAAUGUAAAAUUUCUUACCUUUAGUUC